ACUCCUUCAAGACUGUUUGAAAAGCAUUCCAGGUGAAGCAGGUUGAGAGAAUGCCAAGAGUGUGCAAAGCUGUCAUCAAGACAAAGGGUGAACUUUGAAGAAUCUAAAAUAUAUUUAGAUUUGUUUAGCACUUUUUUGGAUACUACAUGAUUCCAUAUGUGUUAUUUCAUAAUUUUCAUGUCUUCACUAUUAUUCUACAACGUAGAAAAUAGUUUUAAAAAAUAAAUAAAAACUCUUGAAUGAGUAGGUGUGUCCAAAAUGUUUGACUUGUACAAUCCUGCAGUUCCUUAUAAUGAGAGAAAUAUAGUUGUUCACUGCAUUUCCCUUAUCUCCCAUUACAGUCAGGUACUAAAUGGAAUGGCACUGAGUUUGUAUACAGUUGAAGUCAGAAGUUUAUAUACACCUUCGCCAAAUACAUUUAAACUCAGUUUUUCACAAUUCCUGACAUUUAAUCCAAGUAAAAAUUCCCUGUCUUAGGUCAGUAAGGAUCACCACUUUAUUUUAAGAACGUGAAAUGUCAGAAUAAUAGUAGAGAAUGAUUUAUUUCAGCUUUCAUUUAUUUCAUCACACUCCCACUGGGUCAGAAGUUUACAUACACUCAAUUAGUAUUUGGUGGCAUUGCCUUUAAACUGUUUAACUUGGGUCAAACGUUUCGGGUAGCCUUCGACAAGCUUCCCACGACAAGUUGGGUGAAUUUUGGCCCAUUCCUCCUGACAGAGCUGGUGUAACUGGGUCAGGUUUGUUGGCCUCCUUGCUCGCACACACUUUUUCAGUUUUGCCCACUGAAUUUCUAUAGGGUUGAAGUCAGGGCUUUGUGAUGGCCACUCCAAUACCUUGACUUUGUUGUCCUUAAGCCAUUUUGCCACAACUUUGGAAGUAUGCUUGGGGUCAUUGUCCAUUUGGAAGACCCAUUUGCGACCAAGCUUUAACUUCCUGACUGAUGUCUUGAGAUGUUGCUUCAAUAUAUACACAUCAUUUUCCGUCCUCAUGAUGCCAUCUAUUUUGUGAAGUGCACCAAAGCCAUCCCCACAACAAGGUGCUGCCACCCCCGUGCUUCACGGUUGGGAUGGUGUUCUUUGGCUUGAAAGCCUCCCCAUUUUUCCUCCAAGCAUAACAAUGGU
Molecule: long non-coding RNA, 1121 nt
Filed under: Oncorhynchus mykiss (rainbow trout)
Lineage: Eukaryota; Metazoa; Chordata; Actinopteri; Salmoniformes; Salmonidae
Description: lncRNA (ENSOMYG00000062533.1)
Source: RNAcentral